UUUCAGUGUAAAUCAUAAGUUUUCACGUCCAAUUUUAAUCAUCCGUCUUAUUUAAAAUUUUUUUAUAAUUAAUAUUUUUUGUUUGUUAUGAUAUGAUAAAACAUGAAUAGUACUUUACUCGUGACUUAUGUUUUUAAAUUUUUUCAAAAAAAUUUCAAAUAACGGAAAAAUUUGAAGUUUGAAGGGAAACACCCAGCCAAUGUUGUA
Oryza barthii is the source of this 207-nucleotide non-coding RNA. Lineage: Eukaryota; Viridiplantae; Streptophyta; Magnoliopsida; Poales; Poaceae. The record is from Rfam.